CCUACGGGAGGCAGCAGUGAGGAAUAUUGGUCAAUGGGCGUAAGCCUGAACCAGCCAAGUCGCGUGAGGGAUGAAGGUUCUAUGGAUCGUAAACCUCUUUUAUAAGGGAAUAAAGUGCGGGACGUGUCCCGCUUUGUAUGUACCUUAUGAAUAAGGAUCGGCUAACUGCGGGCCAGCAGCCGCGGUAAUACUGAGGCUCAGUGCGUUAUCCGGAUUUAUUGGGUUUAAAGGGUGCGUAGGCGGCCUUGUAAGUCAGAGGUGAAAGGCUGUGGCUCAACCAUAGAAUUGCCGAUGAAACUGGGAGACUAGAGUAUGGUAGGGGCAGGCGGAAGGCGGGGUGUAGCGGUGAAAUGCGUAGAUA
This 361-nucleotide ribosomal RNA is filed under the name uncultured bacterium. RNAcentral's name for it is "partial 16S ribosomal RNA". It matches the Rfam family "Bacterial small subunit ribosomal RNA", at positions 338 to 696 of the family's 1533-position model. The record is from RNAcentral.